Molecule: ribosomal RNA, 497 nt
Filed under: uncultured bacterium
Lineage: Bacteria
Description: partial 16S ribosomal RNA
Rfam family: Bacterial small subunit ribosomal RNA
Source: RNAcentral
GAUGAACGCUGGCGGCGUGCCUAAUACAUGCAAGUCGAGCGAACAGACGAGGAGCUUGCUCCUCUGACGUUAGCGGCGGACGGGUGAGUAACACGUGGAUAACCUACCUAUAAGACUGGGAUAACUUCGGGAAACCGGAGCUAAUACCGGAUAAUAUAUUGAACCGCAUGGUUCAAUAGUGAAAGACGGUUUUGCUGUCACUUAUAGAUGGAUCCGCGCCGCAUUAGCUAGUUGGUAAGGUAACGGCUUACCAAGGCAAGGAUGCGUAGCCGACCGGAGAGGGUGAUCGGCCACACUGGAACUGAGACACGGUCCAGACUCCUACGGGAGGCAGCAGUAGGGAAUCUUCCGCAAUGGGCGAAAGCCUGACGGAGCAACGCCGCGUGAGUGAUGAAGGUCUUCGGAUCGUAAAACUCUGUUAUUAGGGAAGAACAAACGUGUAAGUAACUAUGCACGUCUUGACGGUACCUAAUCAGAAAGCCACGGCUAACUACGUG